ACCAGACUCCUACGGGAGGCAGCAGUGGGGAAUAUUGCACAAUGGGGGAAACCCUGAUGCAGCAACGCCGCGUGAAGGAAGACGGUUUUCGGAUUGUAAACUUCUAUCAAUAGGGAAGAAAGAAAUGACGGUACCUGUCGAAUAAGCCACGGCUAACUACGUGCCAGCAGCCGCGGUAAUACGUAGGUGGCAAGCGUUGUCCGGAUUUACUGGGUGUAAAGGGCGUGUAGCCGGGCUGACAAGUCAGAUGUGAAAUCCGGGGGCUCAACCCCCGAACUGCAUUUGAAACUGUUGGUCUUGAGUAUCGGAGAGGCAGGCGGAAUUCCUAGUGUAGCGGUGAAAUGCGUAGAUAUUAGGAGGAACACCAGUGGCGAAGGCGGCCUGCUGGACGACAACUGACGGUGAGGCGCGAAAGCGUGGGGAGCAAACAGGAUUAGAUACCCCAGUAA
RNAcentral lists this ribosomal RNA (449 nucleotides) under uncultured bacterium. RNAcentral describes it as "partial 16S ribosomal RNA". It matches the Rfam family "Bacterial small subunit ribosomal RNA", at positions 330 to 793 of the family's 1533-position model. The record is from RNAcentral.